This 119-nucleotide ribosomal RNA is filed under the name Phaseolus vulgaris (common bean). Lineage: Eukaryota; Viridiplantae; Streptophyta; Magnoliopsida; Fabales; Fabaceae. The record is from RNAcentral.
AGGUGCGAUCAUACGUACACUAAUGCACCGAAUCUCAUCAGAAUUCCGCAGGCAAGCGUGCUUGGGCGACAGUAGUACUAGGAUGGGUGACCUCCUGGGAAGUCCUUGUGUUGCACUUC